This 250-nucleotide ribosomal RNA is filed under the name uncultured bacterium. RNAcentral's name for it is "partial 16S ribosomal RNA". It matches the Rfam family "Bacterial small subunit ribosomal RNA", at positions 524 to 773 of the family's 1533-position model. The record is from RNAcentral.
GACAGAGGUGGCAAGCGUUGUUCGGAUUUAUUGGGUGUAAAGGGUCCGUAGGUGGUUAAGUAAGUCUGACGUGAAAUCCCAUGGCUCAACCGUGGAACUGCGUUGGAAACUGCAUAACUUGAGUACCGCAGAGGUAAAGGGAAUUCCCGGUGUAAGGGUGAAAUCUGUAGAUAUCGGGAGGAACACCAGUGGCGAAGGCGCUUUACUGGGCGGUAACUGACACUGAGGGACGAAAGCAAGGGGAGCAAAC